This 460-nucleotide ribosomal RNA is filed under the name uncultured bacterium. RNAcentral's name for it is "partial 16S ribosomal RNA". It matches the Rfam family "Bacterial small subunit ribosomal RNA", at positions 338 to 795 of the family's 1533-position model. The record is from RNAcentral.
GCUACGGGAGGCAGCAGUGAGGAAUAUUGGUCAAUGGGCGCGAGCCUGAACCAGCCAAGUAGCGUGAAGGAUGACUGCCCUACGGGUUGUAAACUUCUUUUAUAAAGGAAUAAAGUGAGGCACGUGUGCCUUUUUGUAUGUACUUUAUGAAUAAGGAUCGGCUAACUCCGUGCCAGCAGCCGCGGUAAUACGGAGGAUCCGAGCGUUAUCCGGAUUUAUUGGGUUUAAAGGGGGCGUAGAUGGGUUGUUAAGUCAGUUGUGAAAGGUUGCGGCUCAACCGUAAGAUUGCAAUUGAUACGGGCAGUAUUGAGGAGAGGUGAGGUAGGCGGAAUUCGUGGUGUAGCGGUGAAAUGCAUAGAUAUCACGAAGAACUCCGAUUGCGAAGGCAGCUUACUAAACUGCCACUGACAUUGAUGCUCGAAAGUGUGGGUAUCAAACAGGAUUAGAUACCCCUGUAGUC